UUUGGCCCAAGUUUCUUGUCCAAGCCUGAUCUGGUCUGAUCUCUUUUGCUAAGCAGAGCUGGGUCUGGUCAGUACUUGGAUGUGAAACCUCUGGGAAUACCAGUUGCAGUUACAG
This 115-nucleotide ribosomal RNA is filed under the name Periophthalmus magnuspinnatus. The record is from RNAcentral. Lineage: Eukaryota; Metazoa; Chordata; Actinopteri; Gobiiformes; Gobiidae.